GUCUACGGCCAUACCACCCUGAACGUGCCAGAUCUUGGAAGCUAAGCAGGAUUGAGCCUGGUUAGUAUUUGGAUGGGAGAACAGCAAAGAAUGGUGAACAGCAGCUC
Molecule: ribosomal RNA, 107 nt
Organism: Gorilla gorilla gorilla (western lowland gorilla)
Lineage: Eukaryota; Metazoa; Chordata; Mammalia; Primates; Hominidae
Source: Ensembl